RNAcentral lists this ribosomal RNA (468 nucleotides) under uncultured bacterium. RNAcentral's name for it is "partial 16S ribosomal RNA". It matches the Rfam family "Bacterial small subunit ribosomal RNA", at positions 28 to 507 of the family's 1533-position model. The record is from RNAcentral.
GACGAACGCUGGCGGCGUGCUUAACACAUGCAAGUCGAACGGAAAGGCCCUGCUUUUGUGCGGUGCUCGAGUGGCGAACGGGUGAGUAACACGUGAGUAACCUGCCCUUGACUUUGGGAUAACUUCAGGAAACUGGGGCUAAUACCGGAUAGGAGCUCCUGCUGCAUGGUGGGCGUUGGUAAGUUUCGGUGGUUGGGGAUGGACUCGCGGCUUAUGAGCUUGGUGGGGGGGUAGUGGCAUACCAAGGCUUUGAGGGGUAGCCGGCCUGAGAGGGGGACCGGCCACAUGGGGACUGAGAUACGGCACAGACUCCUACGGGAGGCAGCAGUGGGGAGGAUUGCACAAUAGGCGGAAGGCUGAUGCGACAACGCCGCGUGCGGGAUGACGGGCUUCGGGUUGUAAACCGAUGUCGCCUGUGACGAAGCGUGAGUGACGGUAAUGGGUAAAGAAGCACCGGCUAACUACGUG